RNAcentral lists this ribosomal RNA (253 nucleotides) under uncultured bacterium. RNAcentral's name for it is "partial 16S ribosomal RNA". It matches the Rfam family "Bacterial small subunit ribosomal RNA", at positions 524 to 776 of the family's 1533-position model. The record is from RNAcentral.
GACGUAGGGCGCGAGCGUUGUCCGGAUUGAUUGGGCGUAAAGAGCUCGUAGGCGGCUCGUUGCGUCGGCUGUGAAAACCCGCAGCUCAACUGUGGGCCUGCAGCUGAUACGGGCGGGCUGGAGUUCGGUAGGGGAGACUGGAAUUCCUGGUGUAGCGGUGAAAUGCGCAGAUAUCUGGAGGAACACCGGUGGCGAAGGCGGCAUCCUGGACCAAUAUUGACGCUGAGGAGCGAAAGCCAGGGGAGCAAACGGG